This 334-nucleotide ribosomal RNA is filed under the name uncultured Alphaproteobacteria bacterium. RNAcentral's name for it is "bacterial SSU rRNA". It matches the Rfam family "Bacterial small subunit ribosomal RNA", at positions 9 to 369 of the family's 1533-position model. Lineage: Bacteria; Pseudomonadati; Pseudomonadota; Alphaproteobacteria. The record is from RNAcentral.
GAGUUUGAUCGUGGCUCAGAACGAACGCUGGCGGCAGGCUUAAUACAUGCAAGUCGAACGCGUGUAGCAAUACACGAGUGGCGCACGGGUGAGGAACACGUGGGUACCUGCCCUCUGGUACGGAAUAACCCCGGGAAACUGGAGCUAAUACCGUAUGUCUCCUAAGGGAGAAAGAUUUAUCGCCAGAGGAGGGGCCCGCGUCCGAUUAGCUAGUUGGUGAGGUAACGGCUCACCAAGGCUCCGAUCGGUAGCUGGUCUGAGAGGACGAUCAGCCACACUGGGACUGAGACACGGCCCAGACUCCUACGGGAGGCAGCAGUAGGGAAUAUUGGAC